RNAcentral lists this ribosomal RNA (719 nucleotides) under uncultured bacterium. Its description in RNAcentral is "bacterial SSU rRNA". It matches the Rfam family "Bacterial small subunit ribosomal RNA", at positions 8 to 745 of the family's 1533-position model. The record is from RNAcentral.
AGGGUUUGAUCCUGGCUCAGAUUGAACGCUGGCGGCAUGGUUAAAACAUGCAAGUCGAACGCGAAAGCACUUCGGUGCAAGUAGAGUGGCGAAAGGGCGAGGAAUAAGUACCUAACGUGCCUUCAGGUAAGGGAUAGCUCAUGGAAACGUGUGGUAAUACCUUAUAAUCUCAUUGCUUCGUAUGGAGCUUUGAGCAAAGGCUUGCUGCCUGAAGAUCGGGGUACUUCCUAUCAGCUUGUUGGUAAGGUAAUGGCUUACCAAGGCUAAGACGGGUAGCGGGUGUGAGAGCAUGACCCGCCGCAUCGGGACUGAGACACUGCCCGGACUCCUACGGGAGGCUGCAGUAACGAAUAUUCCGCAAUGCGCGAAAGCGUGACGGAGCAAUGCCGCGUGUGGGAUGAAGCAUCUAGGUGUGUAAACCACUGUCAGGGUUUAGGAAACAAAUGACCAGACCCAAAGGAAGAGCCGGCUAACUCUGUGCCAGCAGCCGCGGUAAUACAGAGGGCUCAAGCGUUAAUCGGAAUCACUGGGCUUAAAGGGUCCGCAGGCGGAUCGGUAAGUAUCUUGUGAAAAUACCAUGGCUCAACCAUGGAAUUGCUCGGUAAACUGCCAAUCUUGAACACGGUAGGGGCCAUCGGAACUCUAGGUGGAGCGGUGAAAUGCGUANAUAUCUANAGGAACGCCANAGGCGAAGGCAGAUGGCUGGGCCGUUGUUGACG